GGUGCUGUAGCUCAGUGUAGAGCAUUUGCCUUGCUAGCAAGUGUGAGGCCCUGGGUUUGAUUCUCAACACCACAU
RNAcentral lists this transfer RNA (75 nucleotides) under Marmota monax (woodchuck). RNAcentral's name for it is "tRNA.Ala". It matches the Rfam family "tRNA". Rfam says of the family: Transfer RNA (tRNA) molecules are approximately 80 nucleotides in length. Their secondary structure includes four short double-helical elements and three loops (D, anti-codon, and T loops). Lineage: Eukaryota; Metazoa; Chordata; Mammalia; Rodentia; Sciuridae. The record is from RNAcentral.